CUCUCUCUCCACCCCGUCUUUGUUACACAGUGCAAAAACAGAGGCACUCUCUCAGAGCGGUGCUAGUUGUUAGCUAGUAGGCUAGCUGCUUGCCCGCUUCCCCUGCGGCCUGGCUGGAGAUGCGUGGAAGAUGUCCGUGUCGGGGCUCAAGGCUGAGUUAAAGUUCUUGGAGUCAAUUUUUGACCCGAAUCACGAGCGUUUCAGGAUUAUCGACUGGAAACCCGACGAGCUUAGCUGUCAGUUUAAUGUGACUGGUGAAAAACUACUGAUCAUCCAUUGCAAUAUUACGGAGGCUUACCCUUCAACUCCCCCUUUAUGGUUUGUGGAAUCAGAUGAUCCAAGUCUGACCGAGGUGUUUGAGCGCCUGGAGGAUGUUCGGAAAGGCAGUACCUUGCUCCUUCAGCAGUUGAAAAGACUUAUCUGUGAUCUUUGUCGACUGUAUAACCUGCCCCAGCAUCCUGACGUGGAGAUGCUGGACCAGCCUCUUCCUGCUGCACCGAUCAGUCAUGAGAGAAAGCAGCAUGUAACGACAGAUGAAGUAACAUCUGAUGAAGAGGAGGAGGAAGAAAUGACUGAGCAGGACAUUGAAGAUCUCGACCACUAUGAGAUGAAAGAGGAGGAACCUGUAGAUGGAAAGAAGUCCGAAGAUGAUGGGAUAGAAAAGGAGAACCUUGCUAUACUAGAAAAAAUCCGCAAGAACCAAAGGCAGGACCACUUGAAUGGUGCGGUGUCUGGUUCUGUUCAGGCCUCAGACCGUCUUAUGAAGGAACUCAGGGAGAUCUAUAGGUCACAGAGUUACAAGACAGGUAUCUAUUCAGUGGAGCUAGUCAGUGACAGUCUUUAUGAAUGGCAUGUCAAGUUGAGGACGGUAGAUCCAGAUAGUCCGUUACAUAGUGACUUGCAGGUCUUGAAAGAAAAAGAAGGGGUCGACUAUAUUCUGCUCAACUUUUCUUAUAAAGAUAACUUUCCUUUUGAUCCUCCCUUUGUACGAGUAGUGUCUCCUGUGCUCUCUGGAGGUUAUGUUCUUGGAGGAGGGGCCUUGUGUAUGGAACUACUAACAAAACAGGGCUGGAGUAGUGCCUAUUCCAUAGAGUCUGUCAUUAUGCAAAUCAAUGCCACCCUAGUCAAAGGGAAAGCUAGAGUACAGUUUGGAGCUAAUAAGAACCAGUAUAAUCUUGCCAGAGCACAACAGUCAUACAAGUCUUUGGUCCAGAUCCAUGAAAAGAAUGGCUGGUACACACCUCCGAAAGAAGAUGGCUAAGAUGAUGAUGUAACUUCUUGAACACUGGGAAUAUGGGAUUUGUGAUCAACUAUUUGCAUUUUAAUUGUUCUAAAAUCCCUCUAAAAUUCUUCUGUUCAGAUGGAGUGUGAGGUCCCACUGGUCUGUUCUCCUUAUUUCACUCUGUCUUCUGUCUGUCCCCUUUUCUUGUUGUCACUCAUGUCUGCUCUCAUCUCAUGUUUUCUUCAAUUUGCUACUGGGAAAGAAGGGAUGUGUGUGAGGCACACAGCUUCAGUACUAAUGCGUGUCUUACACAGAGCAAUUUUAGAGACCACGAGAUUCUUGUCUUGUCUGGAGUGACGCAUGGCUUUGUUGGAUUAACACCCGAAUGGAAUAACGUGUGUGAAGUUUCUGGAUUUUAUUUUCAUGCUGUUCUUUUAAUGCAAGUUAUUAUGGCUAUCAUAUCCUAUGGUUUAUUGAAGUUCAGACAGAAAUGGAUGCAAUAAGAGACUAUAUGAAGCUUUGCCACCCCUCUUAUACAUGUUGACACUGUUCUUUUGUGUUCUGUGUUAACAUGUGCUGGUACAUUUAAUGCUGAUGUUUUUUUUCUUUAAUCAUUUUCUCCAAUGAUAAGUGAGAUAAAGGUAAGGUAUGGGACGUAUUCCAGUUCUCCACUUGUUAACUGUGGAUACCACUCUGUGUCCUGUUUCCUGCUCUUAACCUGUGGUUAAUCUGAGCAGUAUUUCUCAAAAACAGGCCUUAGAACAGGCAAAUAAGAAAAUUUCAUUUUCUGUAGUUGGAUGGAAACCUGUGUGUUUACUUGUAAAUGGAUAUGUGGUGCAAGUUAUUUUUAAUGUGCUGUUGAAGUUAAGUCUUGGGCUCUGCCACAAUAUCCAAUCAAGACCUUGAUCAUAAUAUUUAAUUGGAUGUCUUGAGGAUAUGGAAAAUGAAGAGCACCUAAACUUGGGCUUAUUCAGGGGCUUUAAAGCAUUCAUCUUCUGAUUCUGAAGGUGUCAAUUUAUCAUUCCUUUAUCUGUUUUUAAAGGUCAUUCUUCAUUUACUGCCGAUACGAAUUCACCAGUUCAAGUUUAUGGGACCUCAAGAACUAGCAACCAGUGUCGUUUUGACUGAGGUAUAAAACUUUCAACUGAAAAUCUACUUUGCUGGACAAAAUUAGAAGUGGCUGGCUAAUUAUUGUUGUUAUUAAUUAAGCUACAUUGCAUCAAGCCAAAGAUUCACGAAUAAAAAAACACUGUAUUAAUACCGCAGUAGGUUUUCCAUUUUGGGGACUGAUUGACUCAGAACUAAUGUUUUUGAUAUAAACUUAAUAUUUGCUUUCCCCACAUUAUAUACCCAUUUUAGCUGCAUGUCAUAUUAUUAUACACUUCAGGAUUAUCUCUGAAUGACGAGACGUGGAGUUUAGAUAUUUACUGAUAUAUACAAUACUUUUACAAAAGUCGGAGGCAUCCUUUUAUAAUACAAAAUUGCUGUUUUAUGUGUAAAAACAGAAGGAAGUGUGACAGGAGUGUCCAGAAGAACCACAGCAGAUUCUCCAAGAUGCUCAGUAAAACUUGCCAGCCAAUUUCCUUAUAAAACUGCACAAAAUACGGUUGCAGACAGAAGUUUACAUACAUGGAUGUCAUGUCAUCAUGGACAUGAAAGUCAUGGCGAUACUGGGCUUUAAAUUUUUAUAGCUUUUUAAACUGGUCUUUUUCUGUGGUAGAAUGUACAACAUACUUCUUUAAAAGAAAAAACAAACUAGAAUUUGCUUCACAAGAUUUAAUUUAUUUGGGGUUUUCUGAAAUCAACAUGGGGUACGGUGGCCAGGAAGUGCAAAACAAAAUUACAAAAUCUAAAACAUUUUACAUUUUAUAAAACAAAAUUAUAUCAGCAAAAACACUUUAUUUUAAAUACCAAAGACAAAACAAAUUUACAACUCAGAAAACAAACUGACAAGAUGCAAAACUGAACCUAUUUUCCCUAAGCUGAGGGAGGGUAACAGUUUCGGUCUUCUUCUGAAAAAGUGGCUACACCUCCCAAUAACUUGUACUGAUGUACAGUUGUUUGAACUUAUGAUCUUGGAAUCUGCAGUUGUUUAGAAAUGGCUGUAAGAGACAUUCCUGAGUUGUGUAAAUCUGUGAUCCUCUUUCCCAGAUCUUCACUGAACUCCUUGACUUUUCAAUUGUACUAGGUGUUGGUCAAGCCAGUGAGUGCUGUUCAGCAAAUCCUUUAUAUGUUGGCACAGAGACGCUAAUAGCUGUAGUCAAUCAUGAUCACUAACAGGAAUUUAAGAGGCCUUGGCAAGUUAAAAGACAUUUUGGAACUUUCAGAACCACUGAAUUAGUAAUUUCAUGUAUGUACAAUUUUGACCCUGUGUUGAUACCAGAAAGCCCAAAAUAAAUUAAAACUUUUGCACCAAAUUCUUUCAACGGGAAAAUCCUUGAAAAAAUUGUCUUCAAUCAAUUAACUGCCUUCUUGAUAUCAAACAGCUGCUUUGAUAACUUUCAGUCAGGAUUUUGUGCCAAUCACAGCACUGAAACAGCGCUGAUUAAAGUUAUAAAUGACAUAGGUCUUAAAACUGAUGCAGGCAAAACAUCGGUCCUGGUUUUACUGGACCUCAGUGCAGCUUUUGAUACUGCUGAUCACAACAUACUGCUAUAUCAACUUGAACACUGGGUUGGGUUGACUGGUAAAGUUAUCAAUUGGUUAAAAUCGUACUUAAAAGAUAGAAGCUUCUUUGUUACCAUGGGAAAUUGUACCUCAACAUCAAUGUCCUUGACCUGUGGUGUCCCCCAGGGGUCGAUCCUUGGACCAUUACAAUUCAACCUUUAUAUGCUCCCACUUGAACAAAUUAUCAAGAACAACUCAAUUUUGUAUCACUGCUAUGCAGAUGACACCCAAAUUUACUUUGCUCUAUCACCUAAUGAUUAUGCCCCCCUUGAAUGUCUCUACCAGUGUAUCGACCAAAUCAACAACUGGAUGUCACAACAUUUUCUUCAGCUGAACACAGAUAAAACAGAAGUAAUUCUAUUUGGGAAAAAAAAUGAAAGACUCAGGAUUACCACUAUUCUUGACACAAAGGGGAUUAAAACAAAAGAUAUGGUUAAAAAUCUUUUCAUUGACAGCGAGCUAAACUUUGACAGUCAUAUGAAAGCAAUCACUAAAUCGGCAUUUUAUCACCUAAAAAACAUUUCCAAACUAAGAGGACUUAUGUCAAAAAAUGAUCUGGAAAAACUUAUACAUGCCUUCAUCUCUAGUAGGGUUGACUACUGUAAUGGCCGUUUCACAGGCCUGCCAAAAAAAACCAUCAAACAACUUCAGCUGAUUCAAAAUGCAGCUUUCAAAACUUUCAGAACCACUGAAUUAGUAAUUUCAUGUAUGAAUAAUUUUGACCCUGUGUUGAUACCAGAAAGCCCAAAAUAAAUUAAAA
This is an RNA transcript of Neoarius graeffei (lesser salmon catfish), 4649 nucleotides long. It is a transcript of the gene named ubiquitin-conjugating enzyme E2Q family member 2, with no coding region annotated. The transcript is spliced from 14 exons. The record is from RefSeq and is a predicted model, not a curated record. NCBI's taxonomy places the organism in Eukaryota, Metazoa, Chordata, Actinopteri, Siluriformes, Ariidae.